GCCGCAAGGUUAAAACUCAAAUGAAUUGACGGGGGCCUGCACAAGCGGUGGAGCAUGUGGUUUAAUUCGAUGCAACGCGAAGAACCUUACCUGGUCUUGACAUCCACAGAACCCUGUAGAGAUACGGGGGUGCCUUCGGGAACUGUGAGACAGGUGCUGCAUGGCUGUCGUCAGCUCGUGUUGUGAAAUGUUGGGUUAAGUCCCGCAACGAGCGCAACCCUUAUCCUUUGUUGCCAGCGGUCCGGCCGGGAACUCAAAGGAGACUGCCAGUGAUAAACUGGAGGAAGGUGGGGAUGACGUCAAGUCAUCAUGGCCCUUACGACCAGGGCUACACACGUGCUACAAUGGCGCAUACAAAGAGAAGCGACCUCGCGAGAGCAAGCGGACCUCAUAAAGUGCGUCGUAGUCCGGAUUGGAGUCUGCAACUCGACUCCAUGAAGUCGGAAUCGCUAGUAAUCGUGGAUCAGAAUGCCACGGUGAAUACGUUCCCGGGCCUUGUACACACCGCCCGUCACACCAUGGGAGUGGGUUGCAAAAGAAGUAGGUAGCUUAACCUUCGGGAGGGCGCUUACCACUUUGUGAU
This 583-nucleotide ribosomal RNA is filed under the name uncultured bacterium. RNAcentral describes it as "bacterial SSU rRNA". It matches the Rfam family "Bacterial small subunit ribosomal RNA", at positions 885 to 1468 of the family's 1533-position model. The record is from RNAcentral.